AGACCCGAAACCCGGUGAUCUAGCCAUGGGCAGGUUGAAGGUUGGGUAACACUAACUGGAGGACCGAACCGACUAAUGUUGAAAAAUUAGCGGAUGACCUGUGGCUGGGGGUGAAAGGCCAAUCAAACCGGGAGAUAGCUGGUUCUCCCCGAAAGCUAUUUAGGUAGCGCCUCGUGAAUUCAUCUCCGGGGGUAGAGCACUGUUUCGGCUAGGGGGCCAUCCCGGCUUACCAACCCGAUGCAAACUGCGAAUACCGGAGAAUGUUAUCACGGGAGACACACGGCGGGUGCUAACGUCCGUCGUGAAGAGGGAAACAACCCAGACCGCCAGCUAAGGUCCCAAAGUCAUGGUUAAGUGGGAAACGAUGUGGGAAGGCCCAGACAGCCAGGAUGUUGGCUUAGAAGCAGCCAUCAUUUAAAGAAAGCGUAAUAGCUCACUGGUCGAGUCGGCCUGCGCGGAAGAUGUAACGGGGCUAAACCAUGCACCGAAGCUGCGGCAGCGACACUCAGGUGUUGUUGGGUAGGGGAGCGUUCUGUAAGUCUGCGAAGGUGGCCUGUGAGGGUUGCUGGAGGUAUCAGAAGUGCGAAUGCUGACAUAAGUAACGAUAAAGCGGGUGAAAAGCCCGCUCGCCGGAAGACCAAGGGUUCCUGUCCAACGUUAAUCGGGGCAGGGUGAGUCGACCCCUAAGGCGAGGCCGAAAGGCGUAGUCGAUGGGAAACGGGUUAAUAUUCCCGUACUUGGUGUUACUGCGAAGGGGGGACGGAGAAGGCUAUGUUGGCCGGGCGACGGUUGUCCCGGUUUAAGCGUGUAGGUGUGUGUUCCAGGUAAAUCCGGUUCACUUUAACACUGAGGCGUGACGACGAGGCACUACGGUGCUGAAGCAA
This 884-nucleotide ribosomal RNA is filed under the name Salmonella enterica subsp. enterica serovar Infantis. RNAcentral describes it as "partial 23S ribosomal RNA". It matches the Rfam family "Bacterial large subunit ribosomal RNA", at positions 711 to 1593 of the family's 2925-position model. Lineage: Bacteria; Pseudomonadati; Pseudomonadota; Gammaproteobacteria; Enterobacterales; Enterobacteriaceae. The record is from RNAcentral.